CGGCCCGUAGCUCAGGGGUCAGAGCCUUCGGCUGAUAUCCGAAAGGUGGAGGUUCGACUCCUCCCGGGCCGAC
Molecule: transfer RNA, 73 nt
Filed under: Aquisphaera giovannonii
Lineage: Bacteria; Pseudomonadati; Planctomycetota; Planctomycetia; Isosphaerales; Isosphaeraceae
Description: tRNA-Ile
Rfam family: tRNA
About the family: Transfer RNA (tRNA) molecules are approximately 80 nucleotides in length. Their secondary structure includes four short double-helical elements and three loops (D, anti-codon, and T loops). Further hydrogen bonds mediate the characteristic L-shaped molecular structure. tRNAs have two regions of fundamental functional importance: the anti-codon, which is responsible for specific mRNA codon recognition, and the 3' end, to which the tRNAs corresponding amino acid is attached (by aminoacyl-tRNA synthetases). tRNAs cope with the degeneracy of the genetic code in two manners: having more than one tRNA (with a specific anti-codon) for a particular amino acid; and 'wobble' base-pairing, i.e. permitting non-standard base-pairing at the 3rd anti-codon position.
Source: RNAcentral